CUAGCUGGUCUGAGAGGAUGACCAGCCACACUGGAACUGAGACACGGUCCAGACUCCUACGGGAGGCAGCAGUGGGGAAUAUUGCACAAUGGGCGCAAGCCUGAUGCAGCCAUGCCGCGUGUAUGAAGAAGGCCUUCGGGUUGUAAAGUACUUUCAGCGGGGAGGAAGGGAGUAAAGUUAAUACCUUUGCUCAUUGACGUUACCCGCAGAAGAAGCACCGGCUAACUCCGUGCCAGCAGCCGCGGUAAUACGGAGGGUGCAAGCGUUAAUCGGAAUUACUGGGCGUAAAGCGCACGCAGGCGGUUUGUUAAGUCAGAUGUGAAAUCCCCGGGCUCAACCUGGGAACUGCAUCUGAUACUGGCAAGCUUGAGUCUCGUAGAGGGGGGUAGAAUUCCAGGUGUAGCGGUGAAAUGCGUAGAGAUCUGGAGGAAUACCGGUGGCGAAGGCGGCCCCCUGGACGAAGACUGACGCUCAGGUGCGAAAGCGUGGGGAGCAAACAGG
RNAcentral lists this ribosomal RNA (501 nucleotides) under Escherichia coli. Its description in RNAcentral is "bacterial SSU rRNA". It matches the Rfam family "Bacterial small subunit ribosomal RNA", at positions 283 to 776 of the family's 1533-position model. The record is from RNAcentral. Lineage: Bacteria; Pseudomonadati; Pseudomonadota; Gammaproteobacteria; Enterobacterales; Enterobacteriaceae.